CGCCGCCGCCGGGCCCGCGCCCCCGCCCCCCGCCGCCGGGUUGGCGGCGCCGCACUGGUUGUAGAGGCAAAAAGCGAUGAGCCCCACUGACCUUAAAAAAAAAUAAGAUAAACUCAAAAAUGAUCCCUUUCUGCCAGCUUUCGGGCUCAGGGAAAAUGCAAGAUGGUGCAAACGACCGCCUUUCCGUGCCCCUGAGCCUGAGGAAGGGCGCGGGGGGCCAGAAACAUCGCUUGAAGAUGGGCGCGGGGGGCCAAAAGCUUGCACGCACAAAAAAAAAGCUUGAAGGGCGCGUGUGGCCGAAAGUUUACAGAAAUAGAUCGUUUGAAGGACGCCACGUGUGGCCGAAAGCUUGCAAAAAAAGACUGCUUCAAGCAGGCCGCGUGUGGCCAAAAGCUUGCAGAGAAAGAUAACUCAUGAUGGCUUCACGGGAUCGUUUCUGAGGCGGCGGAUGCCAACCCCAAGCGGCUCUGAGCGGUGCGUAGGCGAACGAGGCACGUGCCUAUUGUCCCAAGUGAAGAAGGGGCCCGGUUGUGCUUAUUUUACAUAUUACGAUUAUUAAGUGAAAAAAAGUAAUAGAAAAAGUUCGGCUGGGGGCCCACGAGCGUGCUUGCCUGGGGCCCACUAAAGGGUUAAUCCAGCCCUGGCGCUGAGAGUCCCCUUUUCAUGUCCCAAGUCAAGUCGGCCAAACCAAUCCCAAAUCCACGUGAAUCGUUCAGGAGCCGUGUGUGGCCCUGCUACUGGCAAGCACCCUUCACCCGCGACUGGGGCUUCAGAUGUUUCCAAAUCCUUUGGCGGGCGUCCUACGUGCAGGCCUGAGCCCAGAGGCUGCGGGUUCGGAUGCCCCGAGUUUUGCUUGUCCUCAGCCGUACGGCGGCAGAAACAAGCUAGGGAGGAGUCGUCUCCUAUUUCCAUGAAGUCGGCGUGUAGCAGAGAUCUUCCCACUGGAAGUGACAGUGGGAGGCUAACCAUGCCUUGCCUCGGUGAGGGUACUACCCCCGUGCCACAUUCAUGGUUAUCCCCUGUCAGUAGGAAAACCACCAUGGUGAACCUGGUAUUUCCCCUGCCUGGCACUGAGAAUCGUCAGCACUUUCUUAUGACGACUUGCCUCAAAAUAAAGAUAUGCUUCUGCUUGGA
This is a long non-coding RNA of Alligator mississippiensis (American alligator), 1134 nucleotides long. RefSeq lists it as uncharacterized. Lineage: Eukaryota; Metazoa; Chordata; Crocodylia; Alligatoridae. The record is from RefSeq and is a predicted model, not a curated record. The transcript is spliced from 2 exons.